GUUAGAUGUUAAUUUUCAUUAAGCUUAAGGUUCUACGGAAAAAGGCGAAAUUCGCCCCUAAAGGCUUCAAUGUCUGAAUGAAAAAAGGCACUAUGGUAAAGAGGUAGUUGAAAAAUGGGAGGGAGCUGGCCUCUACAAGUUGUUGAUUGAGAUAGAUUAGCGUAUUGACUUUCGAUUGAUAUACCUCAUUAAGCAUAUGGUUUUACGGAAAAUGGCUAAAUUUGUCGAAAACUAUCUCGUUUUUGUUAUAAACCGUAUAUUAGAAAUGGCGACGUGCGCCACUUCCGUCGCCGACGCCAUUUGGACGCCAUGUUGCCCGAGAUUUGAGCGCUUGUACGCCUUGGCUUCUAAAUUUCAAGAUGAAUAUUGACGGCAGAAGACGGCGUUGUGCAUAUGGGGGGCACGCACUGAUUUCAAGUGAGUCGGAAGUGCCAAAAUUGAACAAGAUUGGUUCCAAGUACGUUUCGAAGUCCGUCAUUCAGGCCCUGGGAAUGGGUGACCCUGGCAAGCUUGCUGGACGAUACCUGUGUCAUAAGUGUAUUUCCUAUGGCAGGUCGCAGAUGAAAAUUGUUCAGGAGAGCCAGCGCCAUUCCGGAUCUGAAAAUGCUCUGCAUGUCAGCAUUGUCUGGGAUUGCAAUAUCCUAAUCAAUCACUACCCUCUAAUGACCAACGGGUAUAUGCUCAGCACAUCAUCAUAUCACCGUUCCACACACCAUCACAUUACAAACAUCAUCACGCACCAAUUAGUAUGCGUUUCUGCUCUGAAAUGGGUACAUUUCAAUGCUGUUCACAACCAUUAAAUCACAUGUUCAAUCCACUCCUGUUCGUCUCCUCAGUCACCCGGAGACCUUGACCUACUCCUGGUCCUCUACGCCCGCCAGCGCCGCUUCGUCUGCGGUGCCGACCAGCGCCGCUUCGUCUGCGGCCCCCGCCAGCGCCGCUUCGUCUGCGGCCCCCGCCAGCGCCGCUUCGUCUGCGGUGCCGACCAGCGCC
RNAcentral lists this long non-coding RNA (993 nucleotides) under Amphibalanus amphitrite. RNAcentral's name for it is "uncharacterized LOC122380092". Lineage: Eukaryota; Metazoa; Arthropoda; Thecostraca; Balanomorpha; Balanidae. The record is from RNAcentral.